RNAcentral lists this ribosomal RNA (253 nucleotides) under uncultured bacterium. Its description in RNAcentral is "partial 16S ribosomal RNA". It matches the Rfam family "Bacterial small subunit ribosomal RNA", at positions 524 to 776 of the family's 1533-position model. The record is from RNAcentral.
UACGUAGGGUGCAAGCGUUAAUCGGAAUUACUGGGCGUAAAGCGUGCGCAGGCGGUUUUGUAAGUCUGAUGUGAAAUCCCCGGGCUCAACCUGGGAAUUGCAUUGGAGACUGCAAGGCUAGAAUCUGGCAGAGGGGGGUAGAAUUCCACGUGUAGCAGUGAAAUGCGUAGAGAUGUGGAGGAACACCGAUGGCGAAGGCAGCCCCCUGCGUCAAGAUUGACGCUCAUGCACGAAAGCGUGGGGAGCAAACAGG